AGUAGCCGCGGUAAUUCCAGCUCCAAUAGCGUAUAUUAAAGUUGUUGCAGUUAAAAGCUCGUAGUUGAAUUUCGGGAUCAAUACGUCGGUCGUGCUUCGGUACGUACUGGCGUAAUUGAUUUCUCCCUUCUGACGAACCAUGAUGUCAUUAACUUGGUGUCAUGGGAAAUCAGGACUGUUACUUUGAAAAAUUAGAGUGUUUAAAGCAGGCUCACGCUUGAAUACAUUAGCAUGGAAUAAUGAAAUAGGACGUUCGAUCCUAUUUUGUGGUUUUAGGA
Molecule: unclassified non-coding RNA, 278 nt
Filed under: uncultured Glomus
Lineage: Eukaryota; Fungi; Glomeromycota; Glomeromycetes; Glomerales; Glomeraceae
Description: sequence contains 18S rRNA gene
Rfam family: Eukaryotic small subunit ribosomal RNA
Source: RNAcentral